GUGUCAGCGGGAAGGACCUGCACCGCCCCCCCCCAACCUGCAGGCCUCGGCUCCUCGGUUCCAGGCCCUCAGUCGAGGGGCCUGGGGCUUCUCCAGAAGGGGGUCCUCGGGCCUUCCUGCCGGGGACCCUGCAGCUCUUUGGUUGGGGAACCUCAGGAAUGGGGUCUCGGGCCCCUUGGCCGUGGGCUCCAGGACCCUCACAGAAGCACAGGGAGCUGAGAGAGAAAAGCAGGGCCGGAGGGCAGUUAAAGCGCUGAAAACAUUCCACUCAGGACCGUUGACAUAGGGCACAAGAGACCUCAGUCAUCCCCGAAUACCGUGUGGACUGAAAAAACAAUGCACCACCUAAAAGUUGAGAGUUACGUUUUAUUCGGUGGACAAGACUGAGGACUUAAGCCCGGGACACAGCAUCUCAGAUAACUCAGGGACUGUUCCGAAGAGCCUCCUGACCACAGGUACCCAGGUAGCCAAAACUUGGACCAAAAGGACCUCCUGGGUAGCACAGUCUCAGAAUGGGGAGAGGACGGAAAGCCAGCGUGCGGCUUUGAUAAACGUUUGCCCAAUUGGAUCGCAUUCAAGUUGCUGUUCCUGUAGGACUCAGCAUGACAGAAAUGAUGAGAAGUGAGGAUUCAUUUUUAGAGAGAAAGAGAUGCUCUCUCCCCAGAGCCAGCCCUGGAUGGCGGCCAUCAGAUGAGAAGAGCUGCGGGAGCGUGGGGGGCCAACUGCUCACCCUGUACGAUGUUCCUGACCCACAGCUAUCCUAUUGCUGCUUGAAUACCACCAGUGAUGGAGAGCUCACCACCUCGAGGGCAGCCACAUCUAAUGCUGGUCGGGUUGGCUGUGGGAAAGUCUCUCCAGUGUCGGGUCAGAUCUGUUCCGUCGAUUGUGCUCUGCCCUCUGAAGAUGUACAGAUCACCGCCCCCUCCUGUCUGGUGUCAUCCUCCCCUUCUGCUGACCACCUCCAGUUCCUUAACCGUGUGUCCUAAGCUGGGGUCCGGGUCCUCCCAUCCUGUCCCUGGGGGUGUUCUGAUCUGCCAAUGUCCCUAAAGUCAGGCACUCAGAACCAAGCAGGAGGUUCCUUUUUCUGACCAACCGGCCAAGAGUCCCAUGACUUUCCUGCUUCUGGACACCGCACCUCCAGCCGAGGUGCGCUGCUGGCCCGCCUGGGUGACAUCCAGGGAGAAGCCACAUGUGACCGGUUCUGUGCCAAUUGCUGUGGGAGGUUGGGCAGGGGACGUGGCCGCAGGAGCGGUAGGUCUAGUCCAGGCACCGAGCUGACACUGAUGCGGGCUGUGGUUUUAGGGUGAGCCCAGCUGUCACGUCUUCCCUGCCAUCCCCCCCAUCCCAUCUGGGCCCUGACGACUGGACCAGGGCCGGUCACCUGACUUAAGCUAGACCAAUCACAUCAGCAGUUGGGGUAUCAGGUCAGUCCCAGCAGGUGGCUGCGGGGCAGCUUUAUUCCCAUGGGGUCUGGGAAAUCUGAUGUCCAUUUGCAGAGAAAGAAGAGAGAUGGGGUGGGGGAAGCCAUGCGGAGAGAGGAGUAAAACGUGAAGCAAAUGCAGAGAGGUGGGGGUGGGCGCACACCCCCAGAGCCCCCUGUGACACCCGCCCUCCCAGCCACGUAGACCCACAAGGUCCCACAGGGAGGGAGAGGGGUGCUGGGGGUCUGGCCCUGAGCCCUUCCUGGUGCCAGGAUUCUCCAACGUCCUUGGGACCCACCUCAACCUUGCGGAAAGAUCCAAGGCAACCCAAAGCCACCACCUCUCAGGGUCCCACCCUCCUUGCUGCCCAGGGUGACACAGGCCAACAGCCAAUGAGGGGCCGACAGCCCAUUGCCUGGGGCUCCUGGAGGCUGUGUCAUCUUGUAACUUUUGUAAUUUUUUCCCGCCACUCCUUGGGGAUGUUUACUGGCUACUGGACCUGUACCUGCCCAGGUGUGGAACCCGCCAGUUGGGGCCAGGGGAGGAUUGUCCAGGCUGAGGCGGCACGAUUCAAUGCUUGGCCAAGAGUGGUUAAGACCAGUGUGGGCUCAGCCUUUCCUGGGCCCUGCUCUGGCGUGAGCAAGGGGCCUGCCCUCUCUGGGCCUCCAGUCUCUCCCCUGCAGAAUGGGGACAGUUGUGUCUCCCACCUCACAGGCCUGCUGUGGCUGCUCGAGGAGCUCUAGGAGCCAGUGUAGGUAGAGAGCCUGGCACAGAACCAGUCCCGUGGAAGGCAGGUCCCCGAUAGGAGGAUGCCUUGCAAGAUGGUGCACUCACGUGGCUGGCAGGGGGUGCUGGCAGAGGGCCAGAGGCCUUGGUUCCCCUCCACGUGGGCCUCCCCCCGGCCCCCACUGCACCACCCCUGUGUUCUGGCGGCAGGCUCAUCGCCUGUUAUGAUACCAGCCUCAGACGUCAGACAGCAUCUGUUAUGAGCGCAAUUGUGCCCCCUCCAAAUUCGUGCGCCGGCGUCCUAACCCCUAGUAGCUCAGGAUGCAAUUGUGGUGGAGAACGGGGUCUUUAAAGAGAGAAUUAAGGUAAAAUGAGGUCAUGUGUGUGGGUCCUAAUCCAGUCUGACAGGUGUCCUAAUAAGAAGGGGAGAGUAGGACACAGACACACACGGAGGGACGACCACGUGAGGACACGGGAGAAGACGGCCAUCUGCAAGCCAAGGAGAGAGGCCUCGGGAAGAACCACCCUGCCCACACCUGGAUCUUCGGCCUCCAGAGCUGAGAGGAAAUAAAUG
This is an RNA transcript of Lagenorhynchus albirostris (white-beaked dolphin), 2721 nucleotides long. RefSeq lists it as uncharacterized. The record is from RefSeq and is a predicted model, not a curated record. Lineage: Eukaryota; Metazoa; Chordata; Mammalia; Artiodactyla; Delphinidae. The transcript is spliced from 4 exons.